This is a non-coding RNA of Zonotrichia albicollis (white-throated sparrow), 4591 nucleotides long. NCBI's taxonomy places the organism in Eukaryota, Metazoa, Chordata, Aves, Passeriformes, Passerellidae. The record is from RefSeq and is a predicted model, not a curated record.
UACUUAGUUCAACAGGUGAAAAUGAAAGAGCUGACCCAAUAUUCAUUUUGCUUUCACAUCCUUUGUAUUUAAGGAUCACAUCUUGAAUGUAUCAACUCACAACAAUUUCCAUAAAAUAGGAAAGUGCUGAUCUCUAUUUUAAAGGUGGCGAGGGGAUCAAUACUGAGAUGCACAAAUGAAGAAUUGAGUGCUCACAUUGCCCGGGCUCAAAGCCAGCACGAUAUUUCAGUUGCAAUCUGUAAAGCAUGCAGUCACUCAUCCACAUUGUCUCUGGAUUGGAGCUGGCACUUGGGAGCUCGUGGGAAGAACUCCCAGUUGUCUUCACCUAUCCACCUACCCAUAGGUACGUAGGAUUCAUCAGGAUUUGGAUGCAAGUUUGAAAUAGCAUUUUCUAAAAUGGUUCUGCAGCCUUCAGACUCAAACUAUCUGAAGAGUAUCUAUAGCUCAGCUUUUGUUGGUCUCCACAGGCCUGGCAGUUUUGCCACAUAAAGUGGCACCUCCUUGGGUACCUACCUGUAACUGCUCAGCUGAGCAUCUCUGCUUCCCCACGGGGAUGUCAAGGGUACCAGCACAGUCAUGGCCUUGUGACACAAAAGUCCUGCUUCACAUGAGACAGAUUUUGAGGAGAUCUGGGGUAGAAAGAUGGUGGGGAAUGGAUUAAAGUCUUAGAGAAAUAAACAGAGGAAAGGGGCUGGAGAUGUGAACUAGUACAGGUUGCGCAAGACCAUGACAAAUUUACUUAGAUAAAGUAAUUUACUUAAAUAAAGCUCCUCAUUUUUGGGCUCUCAAACUAAGGGUAGCGUUACCAGCAUCAAGUUAACAUCAAUUCAGUUAUGAACAUGAAUAUUGAACAAAAACACUGAUUCUGCUCCUUGAUAGGACUUGGGAGUUUGGCUCAAGUUCAUGCCUAAACUCUGCUGAGUUAUCAGGAACCAGAUGUUCUUCAGUUAGUUGUGCCCCAAAACACCUGCAGUUUUGCAGUGGGCAGCACAGUAAUGGAUUAACACUGGCAACACCCCUCCAGAAUAAAUGGGAAUGCCCCACCUGGCUCCUUCCCUGCCUGAAGGAUCAAGCAUAUGCCCAUUUAUUCUCUUCUCAGCAGGAAAGUUCAUGUUAAAUUCCCAGCGGUGCUGCCCCCAAGGGCCUGUUGAGCAAGCUGUGGGCACUGAGCUGGGAAAGAGGUGUUCUCCCAGGGGAUAACCCUCUGGAGUGGGCAAACAGAAAAGUACUGACACGUUGGUGUGGGAAAGGGAGAGUGCAAGUAAUUGUGAAAACACACAGAGGAAAUGGUUUUGGUAGGUGAGAAUAAGCAAGACCACCCUCACUCACAAGUACCAUUUCAAUAUAAUGCAAAGGAGACCAGAAGAUCAGGAAAUGAUAAUGUAAAUUAAUAAAUAGAUAACUAAAGGGCUACACAGGAAUGUUUCUUUCAUCAUUAGUACAAUUUUCUGUAAGCCUCUCUUCUGAUGCUUAUAGAGCUUCUUAGGGCAAUAAUUAUAGUUGCAAAUAGUUCCAACAACAGUAACACAUGGAAUGGCAAUGGAACUGUGCAAUGCAUGGGUUGCUUGACACCCCAUAGUCAAGUUAGUAUUUUUGUUUCAAGUACUGUAAGGUCUGGAUCAAUCAGUACUAAUACACUAAGCAACAGCUGAAAAGUGAAAAACAUUCUAGAGGAAAUACUGCUAUGAUUUAAAAAAGAAGUAUUGAAAGCUUGCAAUCUACUGUGCUAUUUACAGCUAUAUAACAAGGCCCUCUACAAGUUAAUCCUACUGUGGGCAGUGUGAGUGUACUGUGGAGCUCACUGAAACUCAGGGACGAAAGAGAGAAGUUGUCUAUUUGAGGCUCCAGCUUGGAGGAGAAAUACACAGGUUAGCUCCAAACAAGCUGCUUGAGGUGUAGAGGAGCAGCCAGGGCUGGAAAAUGGAGCUUGACAAGGGCAGUGGCAUUCUGUGAUAGACAACUCAAGAUCAACCUGCAAGCUUUUCAGGAUUUACAAGUAAACUUGAACUGGAGCCCAGAUUUGAGAAAAGGUAGAAUCAAAUAACAGUUUUUCUGUAAAAUUAAGUAAGGCUGGAAGUCAGGUUUUGAAGUUUUGCCUUUUUUUGAAUCUGAAACUCAGGAAUCCAGUGCCAGCCUGAAGCAUGGGGAAGAAAAGAAAGCAGGAUUUAUUCCAUGAACAAUUUAUUAUUUAGUAAUCACCCAGUCUUUGGUUCACCUAGUUAUUUAUGGCCUAAAAAUUCAUUAAUUUUCCAGGUAUUUAAUAAAGAUGCAGAAUGUUUAGAAAUGCUGACAUCAUCCUACAGCUGUGUGCACAUGAGGAAUAGGCCUCAAAUGAGUUCCCACUACCUUCAACAAGAAAGUGUGAUUGGCAUGAAACAUUAAAUUAGCAGAGUUCAGUUUCUUGGUAUGUUUUCACCCUCCCAUAAUGCAGAAAAAAAUAAAGCACAAAUGUAGUUCCAUCAUGAAGUUUUAAAAAGCCAUUCAAGUUUCCUAAACAAUCAAUUUCUUUACAUUUGCUGAUUAAACAAUUUUCUUAUACGGUCACUGUUUUAAAUACAUGGCAUGUACUUCACAGAAACAUUGCACUGCAGAAAUUCUUGUGAUUUAUCUGCAUUGAGACUCCUAAAGAUCUAUUACAGCAGACAAAUCUUUUUCUUUAAGUACUUGAAUGACAAACAACAAAAGUAAAUCUUCAUUCUUACUUCAUUCUAAAUUUAUUGCCUCUCAUAUCUGACUGAGACCUUUCUGUGAAUGAGCACAGGAGCAACAGGUACUGAUAUAAUGAAGUAUCUUACUGAAAGUUUGCUGCGUAGCUGUUUGGUGGACUUGGCAGGGUUAGGCUUGUGGUUGGACUCUUGCCUUAAAGAUCCUUUCCAACAUAAAAGAUUCUAUUCUAUGAAUCUACUGAAAGUACUGGAAAUCUGGUAGUCUAUUUGUCAGAAAAAAAUUCCUAUUGCAAAGCUACAACAUUUUAUUUGCAUCAAAGGCUUCUUCUCAGUUCAUUUAAUCUGUGGCAAGUAUUAAUUAAUGAUCAAGCUUUUCUCUUUUGUUUCCUUUUUGGAUAUAUUAUUUAUGUUUUCAUGUCUUAUUUACACCAUUGCAAAUCUAGCAUAAAAGACAAAGGAGCAAAGCCCUCUGUCUCUUAAUCAUUUUUUAAGAAUUCAAAUUUUUUAUGUUAGCAUCAGAAUCAAAAUUUUAUUAAUCUGGUUUUAUACUUGUAUAUAAACUCAUUUGUUAGCAAUCAGCAUUUUCAGAAAAAUUCUUGAAGCCAGUGACAGGUUAAGACCACACUUGCAGUGAUUGCAGCACUUGUGUGAAUAGAUGAGGCAGGAUUACCAAGUGUGUUAAGUGUCUUUUGUGGGGGCAUAAUAGGCAGUAAAUCUGUACUGGCUUUAUUCUUGCCAGCCCUCAUCAGCAUUUUGCUGAGCACAUUCCACCUUUGUGCUUGGUAUAACACAUGCUUCACUAGAUGGGACUCCCAGAUGUUGAUGGGUUCAGCCAAAUGUGCUUGCUGAAAUAUGGCAAAAAGUGUGUGUAUGACCCUGGAGAAAGGUGUAAAGCACAAUUCUGAUGAGGAGCAGCUGAGGGAGCUGUGGAUGUUUAGUCUGGAUAAAAGGAGGCUCAUGGUGGACUUUAUUACUCUGUACAACUGCCUUAAAAGAGGAUGUAGAAAGGUGGGGUCAGUCUCUUCUUGUGAGUAACAAGUAAUAGAACAAGUGGAAAUGGCCUCAAGUUGCACCAGGGAAGGUUUAGAUGGGGUAUUAGAAAAAAUUUCCUCAUGGAAAGGGUUUUCAAGCGCUGGAACAGACAGCCCAGUGAAGUGGUUGAGUCACCAUACCUGGGGGUAUUUAAAAGAUGUGCAUAUGUGGCAUUCAGGGACAUGGUUUGGUGGUGGACUUGGCAGUGCUGGGUUAGCAGUUGAGCUGUAUAGAUUUAAAAAUAAAUUAUUCCAACCUAAAUGAUUCUGUGGUUGUGUAGUUCUAUGAUAAUCAAUGCCACAUACCAAAAUACUAUUUUCUUCUUGGCUUGUAAUAUCUUCUUUAUGUCUGUGUUUUACAUAGGGAAGGAGGGGAUAUUCUUGCUGAAUAGUUCUCAUUCCAUUUGCUAGUGCAGGACUGACUAGGGACAGCCUGAUCUCAAUUUCUAAUUUCAGGGGUAAAAUGGUCUUAUUGGAGUCUGCACCAGAUGGAAAUGUAAGAUCCAGCCCAUUGCAAGUGGAAUGAAUUGUUUUACAUAUUUGAAUUUGAUAAAAUUUAUAUUGCAUUGUGACUUACAACCACCAGCAAGAUAAUCAACACUGUUUAGUUCUCACCCUUGUGUUUGUUCAUAUUUGAGUAAGCAUGCUGGAUGGAUCUGGUAGCAAAACCUUCACUAUUUGAUAAGACUGUUUAUGCUUUUCUUGUUAUUGUCAGACUUGAGGAAAGCAUUCAUUCUAAUUCUAGUCAUUAGAGCUGUACACAUUUUCACACUUGGGUUUUUUGAUACUGCGGUUAAACCAACAAUAACUUUGGGAUAACUUAAUAUUGAAACUUGGAGUCUAGAACAAUAAAAUUUCUCCCAGUGAAUAAAAAUAAAAAUAGUUUAUAACCAA